GGGGUUGUGGCUCAGCGGUAGAGCACUCGCCUAGCACUUGCGAGGCGCUGGGUUCGAUCCUCAGCACCA
This 69-nucleotide transfer RNA is filed under the name Ictidomys tridecemlineatus (thirteen-lined ground squirrel). RNAcentral's name for it is "Spermophilus tridecemlineatus (thirteen-lined ground squirrel) tRNA". It matches the Rfam family "tRNA". From Rfam's summary of the family: Transfer RNA (tRNA) molecules are approximately 80 nucleotides in length. Their secondary structure includes four short double-helical elements and three loops (D, anti-codon, and T loops). The record is from Rfam by way of RNAcentral. Lineage: Eukaryota; Metazoa; Chordata; Mammalia; Rodentia; Sciuridae.